UCCGUAGGCGGUGUGGCAAGUCGGAAGUGAAAUCUCUGGGCUUAACUCAGAGGCUGCUUCCGAAACUGCCGUGCUAGAGUGCGAGAGAGGCAAGUGGAAUUGCGGGUGUAGCGGUGAAAUGCGUAGAUAUCCGCAGGAACAUCCGAGGCGAAAGCGGCUUGCUGGAUCGCAACUGACGCUGAGGGACGAAAGCUAGGGGAGCAAACAGGAUUAGAUACCCUGGUAGUCCUAGCCCUAAACCAUCAGGACUUGGGGUUUGCCCUGUACGGGGCAAGUCCCGUAGCUAACGCGUUAAGUCCUGCCGCCUGGGGAGUACGGUCGCAAGGCUGAA
Molecule: ribosomal RNA, 331 nt
Filed under: uncultured bacterium
Lineage: Bacteria
Description: bacterial SSU rRNA
Rfam family: Bacterial small subunit ribosomal RNA
Source: RNAcentral